Herpailurus yagouaroundi (jaguarundi) is the source of this 1325-nucleotide long non-coding RNA. RefSeq lists it as uncharacterized. The transcript has 4 exons. Lineage: Eukaryota; Metazoa; Chordata; Mammalia; Carnivora; Felidae. The record is from RefSeq and is a predicted model, not a curated record.
GUCAGUGGGCUCCUCGAGGGCUGUCGGGGCUUCCUUGUGGCGUCUGCACCCGGGGCGUUCUCCCGCCGGUCGCUGCUCCGCCUACGUCCAGGCUCCUCCCGGCUGCCUGAGUUGCGCAAUCCGUAGCCGGGGAAGCGCUACGUGGAGACCGCGCUAAGUGGAAGCCGAGCUCUGGAGCUGGGGAACAGGAGGGCGGACCUUGAAUAGAUGCUGGACAUUCCUCAUCAGAAACCUGAGGAGGAUACUAAAAAGACAGCCACAAUUUUCCUUCUGCUUGCUGCCAAAGUUCUUGAGGCCAGCUGUUGGGAUUGAUCACUGGACCCAUAUAAAGCAAUCACAAUAGUUGGAAGUUUUUCAAACUGCAAAUCAUGAGCCAUUAAAAGGUCAUAAUAUGAAUUCAGUGGAACACGGCCAACCUUAAAACAGAGACAUAGAAUAUAUAGAAAUGUCAGCAUUAAACACAAGGUUCUACCCCACCCUCAGUAGCAGCUCCAAAUCUCCACCGGCCAACUCAUCCCCCACCUGUCACUUUGGAUCCCACCUCAAAGACAAGGCUCAUCAGCAUGAACUCAGUCCCCACCUACAUCUUCCACCUAUGGAUGCACAUGGAGAUCACGUUCCUCUCCUCUUCUCUGCCUAGGAGGAAAGAGUCCCUGUCUGUCUGCAAAGCUCACUGCUCUCCUAUGGCCUGACACCCACUAUGAAUCUGCCUGCCAGUUACCCUUUGCUAUCAUGGCUCCUUCCCUCAGUAUAAUAAACACGUCCAACUCGCUCGUAUUCCAAGAAAACCUCUUCCCUCAAGCCUGCCUCUGGACCCAUCUUCCCCACCCUUGGGGCUUGCUUUCACCACCACACAUCUUAACAGUCUACCCACUUGUCAAAGCCACACAUCUCCACUGCCGUCACCUCCGGUUCUGGCUUCUGCGUCUCCUACCCCGUGGCUGGUGGCCACUGAUGCCAAAUGUUCAGACCCACUGGAUCUCCCCAUCCGUUUCCUAUUCACAUCUGAGCAAGACGGCAGGAGGAUGGCCGAAGUGACCUCUCGAGGGGGGACUGCCGGUUCAGUCUUCUGAUGUUUUUUUCAGAGAGCCGAGACUUUCAGACAAAGACAUUUUUCAUCUACCAGGCUGCAUAUUUUUACUUAGAUAUUUAAAAAAGCAAUCUCAAGCUUUCCGAAAGAAAAUGUAACAUAGAUGCCAAAUCAGAUGAGAACUAACACUUGGUAUCAACAGGAAUACAUUUGAAUUUAAAAAGGCUAGCUGCAUCUGACAGCAGUGUGUCUCAGCUAAAGUCUAAGCUGGAGUGGGGGGGUGGGGAAGAGAAGA